AUAAUUUGUUAUUAAUUUGAUUUAUAUGUAAAUUUUUGUGUGAUUUUAUAUUAAUUUUAAAAAUUUUUGUAAUUUUUAUAUCCGCAGUAAUUAAUUUUAUUGAUUAAAGAAAUUUAGAAAUAGCAAUAUUAAAGAGUAUAGAUAAAAUUGGUGCCAGCAAUCGCGGUUAUACCAAUUAUACAAAUGAAUUAAAUUAGUAAAAGUUAAAUUGAUUUUUUUAUAAAUUAAAUUAAAUUUAUUAAGUGAAAUUUUAAAUUUAAAUUUUUUAUUAAUUAAAGAAUUGAAGCUUGAAAAUUUUAAUAAA
RNAcentral lists this ribosomal RNA (304 nucleotides) under Drosophila mediostriata. RNAcentral describes it as "partial 12S ribosomal RNA". The record is from RNAcentral. Lineage: Eukaryota; Metazoa; Arthropoda; Insecta; Diptera; Drosophilidae.